GCCGGAGUGGUGGAACUGGUAGACACAGUGGAUUCAAAAUCCACCGGGAGCGAUCCCAUGUCGGUUCGAGUCCGACCUUCGGUA
Molecule: transfer RNA, 84 nt
Filed under: Spirochaetia bacterium
Lineage: Bacteria; Pseudomonadati; Spirochaetota; Spirochaetia
Description: tRNA-Leu
Rfam family: tRNA
About the family: Transfer RNA (tRNA) molecules are approximately 80 nucleotides in length. Their secondary structure includes four short double-helical elements and three loops (D, anti-codon, and T loops).
Source: RNAcentral